Molecule: ribosomal RNA, 254 nt
Filed under: uncultured bacterium
Lineage: Bacteria
Description: partial 16S ribosomal RNA
Rfam family: Bacterial small subunit ribosomal RNA
Source: RNAcentral
UACGUAGGCAGCGAGCGUUGUUCGGAGUUACUGGGCGUAAAGGGUGUGUAGGCGGUUGUUUAAGUUUGGUGUGAAAUCUCCCGGCUCAACUGGGAGGGUGCGCCGAAUACUGAAUGACUUGGAGUGCGGGAGAGGAGAGUGGAAUUCCUGGUGUAGCGGUGAAAUGCGCAGAUAUCAGGAGGAACACCGGUGGCGAAGGCGGGUCUCUGGGCCGAUACUGACGCUGAGGAGCGAAAGCAUGGGUAGCGAACAGG